GAUGAACGCUGGCGGCGUGCCUAAUACAUGCAAGUCGAGCGAACGGACGAGAAGCUUGCUUCUCUGAUGUUAGCGGCGGACGGGUGAGUAACACGUGGAUAACCUACCUAUAGGACUGGGAUAACUUCGGGAAACCGGAGCUAAUACCGGAUAAUAUUUUGAACCGCAUGGUUCAAAAGUGAAAGACGGUCUUGCUGUCACUUAUAGAUGGAUCCGCGCUGCAUUAGCUAGUUGGUAAGGUAACGGCUUACCAAGGCAACGAUGCAUAGCCGACCUGAGAGGGUGAUCGGCCACACUGGAACUGAGACACGGUCCAGACUCCUACGGGGGGCAGCAGUAGGGAAUCUUCCGCAAUGGGCGAAAGCCUGACGGAGCAACGCCGCGUGAGUGAUGAAGGUCUUCGGAUCGUAAAACUCUGUUAUUAGGGAAGAACAUAUGUGUAAGUAACUGUGCACAUCUUGACGGUACCUAAUCAGAAAGCCACGGCUAACUACGUG
This 497-nucleotide ribosomal RNA is filed under the name uncultured bacterium. RNAcentral describes it as "partial 16S ribosomal RNA". It matches the Rfam family "Bacterial small subunit ribosomal RNA", at positions 28 to 507 of the family's 1533-position model. The record is from RNAcentral.